Molecule: unclassified non-coding RNA, 685 nt
Filed under: Leishmania donovani
Lineage: Eukaryota; Euglenozoa; Kinetoplastea; Trypanosomatida; Trypanosomatidae
Description: gene:unknown
Source: RNAcentral
CGCUACUUGCUGAUGUCCGUGUAUGUCUGCCAGCUCGCGUUUCUUAUGUCUGCGCCGUCACCCUGUCUGCGUCUAUGUCUUGAUCUCUCCUCGCGUUCCCUUUACACGAAACGCGCCUACCGACGUGCUCGGUGAAUGCAAUAGCUGGGAGAUGCUCGUUGAUACGUGGCCGUUCUCUGCCAUCGCGCAUGAGCUAAACUGCGCUCUACCCAAGCCCACCACCCACCACCCGCCCCGCGGGUGGCCUCACAGCAGCUACCAUCGUGCCGGUCGCCACGUGCUGCAUCCUCCUCGGGGUGGCUCCGGCUCCCCACCACCAGCAGGGCAGUGUGGGGGCCGGGUGUGGGGUACGCUCGAGUCACGCCGACACGCUGCCCAUCACAUGGAUGGCGCAAGCGUGUUCACGGCCGCGGGUCGCACCGACGCAGCGCCGUCCAGGACCUGGCCGCCGGCGUCAGUGGCGAUGCAUCGCUCUGACCUCCCCUACGGCGUCGGCGCUUGACCCUGUCACGACCGGAAGCGGCUCCGCAUUGGGCAGGACUAGAGGGGGUGGGGUGCCGCUCCGCCUCCCCGCAGGGGGAGAGAGUGGGGGCACCGGGUCCCGAGAUGCCACGCAGUGUGUGUGGGUAUGUUUGUGUGUACCGGUCAUGAGGGACAUCCGAUGAACAGUGAACGAAAAAUGAGC